Molecule: ribosomal RNA, 519 nt
Filed under: uncultured eukaryote
Lineage: Eukaryota
Description: SSU rRNA
Rfam family: Eukaryotic small subunit ribosomal RNA
Source: RNAcentral
AGGGCACCACCAGGAGUGGAGCCUGCGGCUUAAUUUGACUCAACACGGGAAAACUCACCCGGCCCGGACACUGGAAGGAUUGACAGAUUGAGAGCUCUUUCUUGAUUCAGUGGGUGGUGGUGCAUGGCCGUUCUUAGUUGGUGGAGUGAUUUGUCUGGUUAAUUCCGAUAACGAACGAGACUCUAGCCUACUAAAUAGAUCGUCGGCUUACAAACGCCGGCGAGACUUCUUAGAGGGACAGGCGGUGAUUCAACCGCACGAAACAGAGCAAUAACAGGUCUGUGAUGCCCUUAGAUGUCCGGGGCCGCACGCGCGCUACACUGAAGUGAUCAGCGUGCUUUUUCAACCUACUCUGUCAAGAGUGGGGAACCCAAUGAACCUUCUUCGUGAUUGGGAUAGGGGAUUGUAAUUAUUCCCCUUGAACGAGGAAUUCCCAGUAAGCGCGUGUCAUAAGCUCGCGUUGAUUACGUCCCUGCCCUUUGUACACACCGCCCGUCGCUACUACCGAUUGAAUGUUUU